This 128-nucleotide ribosomal RNA is filed under the name Mus caroli (Ryukyu mouse). RNAcentral's name for it is "rRNA (MGP_CAROLIEiJ_G0034220.1)". Lineage: Eukaryota; Metazoa; Chordata; Mammalia; Rodentia; Muridae. The record is from RNAcentral.
GUCUAUAGCCAUACAGCCCUGAACACACCCUGUCUCAUCUGAAACUAAGCAAGGUCUGUCCUGGUUAGUCAUAUGGGAGAAUCGUAGGUAUGGUUCCACCAAGAGCAGUGUUCUGGCAGUUUUUAACU